UACGUAGGGCGCAAGCGUUGUCCGGAAUUAUUGGGCGUAAAGAGCUCGUAGGUGGCUUGUCACGUCGGGUGUGAAAGCUUGGGGCUUAACUCCAGGUCUGCAUUCGAUACGGGCUGGCUAGAGGUAGGUAGGGGAGAACGGAAUUCCUGGUGUAGCGGUGAAAUGCGCAGAUAUCAGGAGGAACACCGGUGGCGAAGGCGGUUCUCUGGGCCUUACCUGACGCUGAGGAGCGAAAGCGUGGGGAGCGAUCCGG
This 253-nucleotide ribosomal RNA is filed under the name uncultured bacterium. RNAcentral describes it as "partial 16S ribosomal RNA". It matches the Rfam family "Bacterial small subunit ribosomal RNA", at positions 524 to 776 of the family's 1533-position model. The record is from RNAcentral.